AUCUUGUUGACGAGUUCCAAAUGGGACGAAACGCGCGUCGUGAAU
Molecule: non-coding RNA, 45 nt
Filed under: Schistosoma haematobium
Lineage: Eukaryota; Metazoa; Platyhelminthes; Trematoda; Strigeidida; Schistosomatidae
Source: RNAcentral